GCGUGAGUGAAGAAGGCCUUAGGGUUGUAAAGCUCUUUCGCCCGUGAAGAUGAUGACUGUAGCGGGAUAAGAAGCCCCGGCUAACUCCGUGCCAGCAGCCGCGGUAAUACGGAGGGGGCUAGCGUUGUUCGGAAUUACUGGGCGUAAAGCGCACGUAGGCGGCUGAUCAAGUCAGAGGUGAAAGGCCUGGGCUCAACCCGGGAACUGCCUUUGAGACUGAUCGGCUUGAGUCCGGGAGAGGGUAGUGGAAUUCCCAGUGUAGAGGUGAAAUUCGU
RNAcentral lists this ribosomal RNA (275 nucleotides) under uncultured bacterium. RNAcentral describes it as "partial 16S ribosomal RNA". It matches the Rfam family "Bacterial small subunit ribosomal RNA", at positions 399 to 691 of the family's 1533-position model. The record is from RNAcentral.